AGGAUUUACAACCUCAUGCCAGUGUACCAGU
Molecule: non-coding RNA, 31 nt
Filed under: Homo sapiens (human)
Lineage: Eukaryota; Metazoa; Chordata; Mammalia; Primates; Hominidae
Source: RNAcentral